Molecule: RNA transcript, 3346 nt
Organism: Neoarius graeffei (lesser salmon catfish)
Lineage: Eukaryota; Metazoa; Chordata; Actinopteri; Siluriformes; Ariidae
Exons: 4
Source: RefSeq, a predicted model, not a curated record
CCGUGUGGAAUCCUGGCUGUGUUUAAUUGGCGAGUGGCAGGCGGGCUUGAGAGACAGAGCAGGAGUGUGGGAGAUCUAAGGAAGCAAUUGGGACUCACAUGGAGAGGCAACUGCUCUCACUGGCUUUACGAGCUGUGACUCUGACUUUCUGAAACAGAGAGAAAGAAAGAGGAAAAAGGAGGAAGAAACUCAACAGAGAGGCGGAGAACAAGUGAGCUUAAGUUUGGGAGGGGGUGAACUGACUCAGAAUUUUUUUUUUUUAUACAGUCAACAGAGAAAGGUUAAGGAUAUGGAAAGAAUGGAAGGGAGAGAUAGAGAGAGGAAAUGACAGAAGGAGCUACAAAGUGCAAACAGAAUGACGGAUAGGUACAGGAAAGGCUGCAAUGGAGUGAGAGAUUAGGGGGGGAGGUGGGAGAGAAAGAGGCCCACCACUGGAGAGAGGGCAACAGCACUGACUGCAUACGGGAAAUGACAGAAGUCAAGGAGAGAGAGGUAGAGCGGGAAAGUGAAAGAGAGAAAAGAGGGGAACUAAGGGGAAGUUAGAAAGGGAAGAAGGGGGGAGGUGAGUCUUGAAAGAGAGAGAAAGAGAAAAGUGGUGGAGGAGAAGUUGAAAGAAGCAGCAUGUGAGAAAAGGGAACAGAAUGGGGAAAAGGAGAGAAAGACGGUAGAGAAGUGAAAUAAAAAGACCUACGCAGAUGAGAAAAACAGCCUUAGUGAAUGGCCUGGGUGGGGAAAAAGAGAGGAGGUAACUGGUUGUUUUGUAAGUCAUCAGCCUGGGCGGCUUUUAGUCUCCUACUGCUAUGCAAUCAGAGAAGGCGGCAAAAGGACAACGUGCCCUCCAUCCAGCCCAGGACUACUGCCACCUCUGCCUACACCAGGGACCAGUGUUAAUACAUCACAGGCAAGAGCUCAGUGAUGGGCAAUACCCACCUCUGGAGCCAAGUCUAAGGUCACACGUGUGCAGGGAGGACUUGCCUCUACCCUUUCCUCUUGAUCUGGAAACACUUGAGGACAGGACAGGGAACCAUAACCAUCAUGACCUGCAGAGGCGGCAGAUCUACUUGGGGCCAAACCACUACACUGUGUCUGAAAAGUGCAGUCCACCAUGCUACUUGUGGAGGGAGGUGAGGGCAUCUAGAUGGGACCCCUGGCUUCCUCCAUCAACAUGUGUGCAGGAGAGAUCGGCACUGGGACAUCAUGGGCAGGAGGUUGCUGAUGGGCGAGUGGCAGGCAGGCUUGGGAGACAUAAUGACUGUGGUUCUGGGAGGGACUGGUACCAUCAUGAGCUGCCACACCUCCUCAAUGGUAGCCCCAUGCUGGCAAAGGUCAGGAGCCAGCGGUACUACAAGGAAGCACGGAAUGUGUCAGAGGAGCAUCACUCGGACUGUGUGAGUGUGAACUAUCACCAGAAUACACAUCUACCAGAGCUAGAAUGGGACAAUAGACAUAAAUUUGGAUACAAUGGGCACUGUGAAAGGAGGCAUGUUACUUUUGAGGGUCACGAUGAUGGACACAUGGAGAAUAAUGGACCAGCCAGUCCUAUUCAGAACCAUUGUAAUGGAGCUAAGGCAUUCUUUUCAACUGAGGUUCCCCAGACCAAGUUUAUAGUCUCCAGGAAAUCAGGACCUAAGCUGCCAGUGAGUGGAGUCCAUGGUGGAGAGACUGAACUGGGUCAAGCAGACAGGUCAGAGGUAGGGGGGAGCCGGAGUAACCACAGGAAGAGCCAGGGAACAGUGCGUGAGCAGAUCAAACAAGUGGUGACAGAGUUAGAGGAUGUGCUCAGCGGUCUCAAACAGGUUCAAAUGGAGAUGAAAGAGGUGGUCCAACAGAUUGAUGUUCUGACUUCCAACAUUGACCUGGGAGAGGAGGAGCAAGGCCCAUUGAAUGGUCUGCCACAGGAAUCCAUGCACCAAGCCAACCGUACUGGAGUUGUGGCACUUGUCCAUAAUGCAAACAGAGAUGCACAAUCACCACAAAGACACAGCACAUGUGCUAGUGUCAAAUCACAGACCACUCGUUCCCUGUCAGACCAUAGCUUGGCUGGUGCAAUUUUCUGUCUCCCUGACAGCCAUUCUACCACAAAGAUCCACACAAACCCAUCCUCUCGUGUUCAUGGUUGGGUGACUGUUGAGUCUGUAGACAGCAGCCGGAUGAAUCAUACGUCUGCUCCGGAGAUCCAGAGGACAAAGAGCACUGCCAAUGGAGACUGCCUGCGAACCAGACCUCCUAGAGUCAAAGUCAAAGAGCUCCAGCAUCCAAGAAACAGAACAGAUCAUAAAAAGAAUCCCGACCCUCCUUAUCCUCUAACACAGAUCAGCUUGGCUAAAACUCAGAGACCCCCACCAUACCCACAAAAUGGACUGGUCAAAGUACCCUCAAAGGAUUCACAUGUCUUGAAGGCACCUCCUUACCCUGGAAAACAGAAACAGAUAAGCUCCACCAUGGUGUAAAGGUGGGGUGACAAGGGAAGUUCCACUGGCUCAGAGCUGUGAUUGCACUCAUGAGGACAACACAUACCCACACACACAGACACACAAAGAACGUAAAUAGGAUGUUUUUUCCCUCAGCAUCCACAUGGUUAGGUAACACAGGGUCUCGCCACAUUUCUGAUGAAGGCUCAAGAAAGACAGAGUCAUGGCAAAACAAUUUUGUUCAGAAACUGGGUUCGGGUCAUCAGGGGGUGUACAUUUUUGCACUUAAAAACAGUCUGAACCAUCUGUGCCUAGGGAUGCCAAAAAGAAGAGGUACAUCUAACAGCAGUGGAAGGGCAUCUUACCAGAACUUUCCCAUGGAAAGCACUAGAAAUUCAUUCUCUCUCUCUCUCUCUCUCUCUCUCUCUCUCUCUCACCAACCCAGACUGCACUUCAUCCAUCAGAACAAGCUGCCCUUUUAAUUAAUUUUUUUUUUUGCCAUACUUGUGAACCACCCUCUGAGCUUUUGCCCCUUAAAGGUGGCACUACAGAGGAAUAAGCUGUUCCUAUAAUGCAAGAUCUUCCCAAAGCUUGCAUGGGAUUCGAAGCCUGUGAGUGGACUGUUCAGACAACCAAAGAGAAUUGAAAGUGUAUUACUGUAUUAUUCUUUAUUAUUGGUUAAAUGUUUAAGAGAAAAAAGCAAGAGUAUCAGAGGAUUAUAUUCAACCUGUGUUUUCUGCAUCAGUUUGUAAACCAUACACAUUAUACUGCAAUUAGUUCAUGAGUUAUUUAAAGCCAAAUAUAAGGCAUUUAGUUUUGUAUUUAAGCUGUAUCAUUGAUAUAUGCUGUCCAGAAGAGGGCGCUACAGGCCAGAAAAGUGUCCCUGAACUUUGAUGACGUUCACAUGAAAUAAAAAAGGAGACUUUUGGAACAUA